RNAcentral lists this ribosomal RNA (754 nucleotides) under uncultured bacterium. Its description in RNAcentral is "bacterial SSU rRNA". It matches the Rfam family "Bacterial small subunit ribosomal RNA", at positions 62 to 829 of the family's 1533-position model. The record is from RNAcentral.
UCGAACGAGAGAGAGGAAGCUUGCUUCCUCAAUCGAGUGGCGAACGGGUGAGCAUUUAAAGAGGAACCUGCCUCAAAGAGGGGGACAACAGUUGGAAACGACUGCUAAUACCGCAUAAGCCCACAGCUCGGCAUCGAGCAGAGGGAAAAGGAGCAAUCCGCUUUGAGAUGGCCUCGCGUCCGAUUAGCUAGUUGGUGAGGUAACGGCCCACCAAGGCGACGAUCGGUAGCCGGACUGAGAGGUUGAACGGCCACAUUGGGACUGAGACACGGCCCAGACUCCUACGGGAGGCAGCAGUGGGGAAUAUUGCACAAUGGGGGAAACCCUGAUGCAGCGACGCCGCGUGGAGGAAGAAGGUCUUCGGAUUGUAAACUCCUGUUGUUGAGGAAGAUAAUGACGGUACUCAACAAGGAAGUGACGGCUAACUACGUGCCAGCAGCCGCGGUAAAACGUAGGUCACAAGCGUUGUCCGGAAUUACUGGGUGUAAAGGGAGCGCAGGCGGGAGAACAAGUUGGAAGUGAAAUCCAUGGGCUCAACCCAUGAACUGCUUUCAAAACUGUUUUUCUUGAGUAGUGCAGAGGUAGGCGGAAUUCCCGGUGUAGCGGUGGAAUGCGUAGAUAUCGGGAGGAACACCAGUGGCGAAGGCGGCCUACUGGGCACCAACUGACGCUGAGGCUCGAAAGUGUGGGUAGCAAACAGGAUUAGAUACCCUGGUAGUCCACACCGUAAACGAUGAUUACUAGGUGUUGGAGG